ACCAAGUUUAUAGAAAAAAUCUACUAACAUUUACAACUCCAAAUUAUUUUUAUUCAAUUUGUAAUUAUAUUGUAUAUGCCGUAUAUUUACAACUUCUUCUUAGGGCUUAUUUGAAUUAUGGGAAAAACCAGAGGAAUAGAAAAAACAUAGGAUUACAAUGUCAUGAUAUGUUGAAUACUACAGGAAUAGAAAACUCAAGAAUUGCUUGAAAGAGGUGUUUGGAUGGUGCGCAUGAAAAAUAAAGGAACGUUGAUACUAGAUGAUACUUAAUUGGACUAAGAGAUGAGAGAGAUAGGGAGGAAGAUGCAUUGAGACUUCCAAAAGGAAACUUUUCAUGAGGUCUAACCUCAUAUUUGGAUUCCUUCAAAAUUUAGACGAACAUAAAUCAUAUCCUAUGAAAAUCCUGCGUGCAAUCCUUCCAAAAGGGUUUGUAUAGGAAAAAAAAAUUCCCCGUUAGGAUUAGAAUCCUCUAUUUCCCCUCGAAAAAAUCCUAUGAUCCAAAGAACCCCUCAUGGCGUAUUUUCUUUUAACUCUUGUUGAUCAAUCGAUGGCCAAUAAAGUAAAGUUUUUUUUGGCUGCGCUUACAUAAAUUUGGUGUGUUUUAUGUUCUGUCAUCGGCCUAGCCAGGAAGGAUGUCUAAGUAUCAAGUUUGUCAUAUUAGCUGUUGAUAUGUCACUGUUGUCAAAAUAAGGAAUUAACUUUUCUACUCUUGAUGCGUAAUAUACAAAGGUAUAUAAGGGACAGUAUGAAGUUAAGUAGGACUAUAUCUUUCAUUCAUAUGAAAAGAGCUCCAUGGACUCCGGGCUGUCUCUCCUAUUACUCCUAUAUGGAUGACGUAAAAUCAAAAGUAAAAAACUAAAAUUUAUUUUAAAAGUUGGUAAAGAAAAAAUUAAAACCACAAUUAGAAGUUGAUAAAAGGAAAAGUGUGGAAAAAAAAAGAAAAAAGUCAAGAGAAGGAAAAUAAAACGUAGGCCAAAAAAGGCACAAAAGAACUUCCUCAAAAUUCUGGUUUUGUAAUGCUUCUUGUUAAAAUGUACAAAUUUAAAAUUAUAAAGCAUGUUUCAUGUGUGUGUCUCUCCGUGCAUGUAUUAAUUCUCUAACAUUAAUUAUUUUGAAUGCAUUGUGCCAUUUUUGUUUGGGUACUAACACCUUUUACUUUUAUGUCAACACUUUUUCUUGGUACUAGUGUGUUUGAGUAUCAAAUCUAGCCCAUUCUACGUGCUCCGAUCCGUUCCACAAAACAACUCGCGUAGAUUUUUUGUUUUGUUCCACAAACAACUCUUUUUUUCUCUUGACUUCCACAUCUAGCCAAUAAGAGUUCAUAUUCAUUUAGUAUUAAUCCAAUGUGAGUGGUCGGGCACUAGAAACGAGAGCUGUCUUGGUCCAAUUGCACAAAUCUAUAUGAGAUGUUUUGUG
This 1416-nucleotide long non-coding RNA is filed under the name Brachypodium distachyon (stiff brome). RNAcentral describes it as "long non-coding RNA (BDIS_LNC002285)". Lineage: Eukaryota; Viridiplantae; Streptophyta; Magnoliopsida; Poales; Poaceae. The record is from RNAcentral.